Long non-coding RNA from Eriocheir sinensis (Chinese mitten crab), 980 nucleotides. RefSeq lists it as uncharacterized. The record is from RefSeq and is a predicted model, not a curated record. Lineage: Eukaryota; Metazoa; Arthropoda; Malacostraca; Decapoda; Varunidae. The transcript is spliced from 3 exons.
AUGAGUGGGUUAGUAACUUAGUAUACGAGGAAACGCUGAAGGAGGAAGACGACUGCUGAAGAGGAAGACGAAGAGGAGGAGGAAGGAGAGGAGGAAGAGGAGUUGAUGGACCUGCCUUCUCAGGGACAACCAGGAGAAGACGAAGAUGAAAUUACAAAACCCAGAAGGCUGAAAGAGGAAGUCAGUCAGUCAGUCUACAGUCAUUACAAAACCCUGAAGACAAGACUGGAGGAGGAAGUCAGUCUAGUGUCAUCCCAAGAGGAGGCGGCCUGAGGUGCCAGGAAGGUGAAACCUAUCUGGAGGACAAAAUGCUCCUCUGGAAAAAGUUGUGAGAGGAACAACUGAUACUUGUACAGCAAGGGGAGCAACGGAGCACUUCUCAACCCCUUGACUGUGGACUUCCUGCCAGAAGACAUCACCAGGAUACAGAAAUGGAUCAAAGAGUGGCUGCUACAAUUUAAUAUAGAAGAAUGUAUUCCUGCACCUUGGGAGGGGAUAUCCAGCACACCGAUACCACAUGGGAAACACUCCACUAUCCACCACAGAGGCAGGGAAAGACCUGGGAGUAUGGGUUACCAGGCUACCAGUGAAAGCCAAAUCCGUGCCAAUCACAGCGGACGUGUUAAAGGGAUUGAAGAGACAAAGGAGGUAAGGAAAAGGCAUCUCAAUUCAUGAGGAAAGAGAAGUGACCAGUAUGGAAGUAAAGAUUCAAGUGGAACAACCACAUCAUACCUACAAGGGGAAGUGUAGAGGAGAUAGACAUGGCAAUAGAAAAGUUGAGAGAGAGAGAGAGAGUGAGUGAGUGAGUUGGUUGGUUGGUUGGCAAAAGAUAUGUGCGGUGAGAGGGCCUGCCAAGACGAGGAAGCCUGGAGGAGCCUCUUCUGCCACGGCGCUCCAUUCAGGGGUGGCUGUGUGAGGGGACAGUAUCAGAGAAAUAGAUGCAAAAGGAAAAUUGUUUGUAUACUGAAAACUUCAUAAAG